UGAGGCCACAUCACGUAUAAACACCAGUUCCUGUACGAUCGCCGAAGUUAACACAAUCGAGCCUGGUCAGUACCUAGAUGGGUAACCGUUUGGGAAUACCCGCUG
Non-coding RNA from Acanthosepion pharaonis, 105 nucleotides. Lineage: Eukaryota; Metazoa; Mollusca; Cephalopoda; Sepiida; Sepiidae. The record is from the annotation of a GenBank genome assembly.